RNAcentral lists this ribosomal RNA (1374 nucleotides) under uncultured Bacillota bacterium. Its description in RNAcentral is "bacterial SSU rRNA". It matches the Rfam family "Bacterial small subunit ribosomal RNA". The record is from RNAcentral. Lineage: Bacteria; Bacillati; Bacillota.
GAUGAACGCUGGCGGCGUGUUUAAUACAUGCAAGUCGAACGGUGCUGUGGGGGCUUGCUCCUACAGUAUAGUGGCGGACGGGUGAGUAACGCGUGAGCAACCUGCCCUUCGGUGGGGGACAACAGUUGGAAACGACUGCUAAUACCGCAUAACGUGCGAUGGCGGCAUCGCCGACGCACCAAAGAUUUAUCGCCGAGGGAUGGGCUCGCGUCUGAUUAGCUUGUUGGUAGGGUAAUGGCCUACCAAGGCGACGAUCAGUAGCCGGACUGAGAGGUUGAUCGGCCACAUUGGGACUGAGAUACGGCCCAGACUCCUACGGGAGGCAGCAGUAGAGAAUAUUGGGCAAUGGGGGCAACCCUGACCCAGCAACGCCGCGUGAAGGACAGAAGGCUUUCGAGUUGUAAACUUCUUUGACGGGGGACGAAUCAAGUGACGGUACCCCGAAAACAAGCCACGGCUAACUACGUGCCAGCAGCCGCGGUAAUACGUAGGUGGCAAGCGUUAUCCGGAUUUAUUGGGUGUAAAGGGCGCGUAGGCGGAGUCUCAAGUCUGGCGUGCAAUCUCGGGGCUUAACCCCGAAACUGCGCUGGAAACUGUGGCUCUUGAGUGAUGGAGAGGCAGGCGGAAUUCCUAGUGUAGCGCUGAGACGCGUAAGCGUGGGGAGCAAACAGGAUUAGAUACCCUGGUAGUCCACGCUGUAAACGAUGAAUACUAGGUGUGGGGGGACUGACCCCCUCUGUGCCGGAGUUAACACAAUAAGUAUUCCACCUGGGGAGUACGGCCGCAAGGCUGAAACUCAAAGGAAUUGACGGGGCCCCGCACAAGCAGUGGAUUAUGUGGUUUAAUUCGAUGCUACACGAAGAACCUUACCAGGGCUUGACAUGGAGAUGACCGCUGUAGAGAUACAGCUUCCCUUUCGAGGGCAUCUCACACAGGUGGUGCAUGGUUGUCGUCAGCUCGUGUCGUGAGAUGUUGGGUUAAGUCCCGCAACGAGCGCAACCCCUGUUGCUAGUUGCUACGCGAGAGCACUCUAGCGAGACUGCCGUUGACAAAACGGAGGAAGGAGGGGACGAUGUCAAAUCAUCAUGCCCUUUAUGUCCUGGGCUACACACGUAAUACAAUGGCGUUUAACAAUGGGAAGCGAAGCCGCGAGGCGGAGCGAAUCCCCAAAAGGCGUCUCAGUUCAGAUCGUAGGCUGCAACUCGCCUGCGUGAAGUCGGAAUUGCUAGUAAUCGCGGAUCAGCUAGCCGCGGUGAAUACCGUUCCCGGGCCUUGUACACACCGCCCGUCACGCCAUGAGAGCCGGGAACACCCGAAGCCUGUGAGCUAACCGCAAGGGGGCAGCAGUCGAAGGUGGGUUUGGUAAUUAGGGUG